GCUACUAAAACACACGAUAGAAGAGAGACAUGUAAGCCAUUCUGGCUAUGUAAAGACUUCCCCCAAAAUCCAUAUACAAGUACCAAUAUUCAUUUCUUUCAGAACUGGUUUCUCAACAUAAACAAUCAUUCUUUGCAAAGAUAGUUGGAGCUAUCCACCAACCGCUCAACAACUUAAAUUCAAAUUGAUGAUUACCUUGUACCCCAAAACAUGCAAUUCACACUCCUCUUAGAAACAUCCUCAGUCAAGCAUAUAUAACAAUAUUAUUGUAAUAAAACUCAACCAUGAAAAACAUAGUGAAAACAUCAUAGGCAUACUUGUAUAUCACAAGCAUAAUAACAACUUCAUUCUCACAAAUGAUCAGCGAUAUUUACCGCAUUAAUAAAACAAUAUCAAAAUUUCAGAAAUAAAUUAUAUCAAGCAUUAAGCCAUAAACAACUUACCACAUCACAGUAAAGGAAUCGGGAGGGGUGAAAUUAUUGUCAUCUGCACUUCAAAGUCACUAAUAUAUAUCAAAGAUACUUGAACUCAUACCCUUCCUAUAUGUGCAAGUGUGUCAAAUUUAUCUUCAAAUUGUCAAGAAUCUAAAGCCUAAGCUUUGAUACCAACUGUAACACCCCGGGAUCCACAAACACCCCAGAAUGCUACUAAACUACACAUCUAACAUUCAUGUAUAAAAUUUCGAUAGUGUCUCCUUUGAAAAUUGCAUAAACGGGAAAGCAACAAAGUAUAAAUAGAUAUCAUGAUAAGAAAACAUAAUAGACAUUAAUAAUCUGCUAGCAAUGGGAAGACGACCAUAACGACAUGAACUGAAUUAACCAGUGCGCACGACUAGUUAAAAACAAACAUCCUUUGAUAAGAAGUUUCUAAUUAAAUCAUGACUGCGCCUGGGCAGCAUUAUUAUGAGAGUGAAGGUGUAUGUGCUGCUACUUCCCACUCCCCUUGAUGAGCAACAAGCACCUGCAUUGAGUAAUGCAAGAGUGAGAUGAAACAUCUCAGCAAGCUAAUUGUUUUGACGAGAUAUUUAAACCACAUUGAAUUAAUCAACAUUUUAAAAGAAUCACAAUCAAGAUCAGAAAUACUUGUAGAUAUAGAACUCAGUAGUCACAAUAUAACCAAUACCAUCUCAUUUCCUCGAACAACCACAAUAGGUUGUAUAACACUUCCCUGCAUCAACAAUACCUGCAAAUAUCACUUCAAUGUAUGCAUAGGAAUGCAAUGUGUAGGUCCUCUAUCUUCAUACCUCUGAGGGUAUAAAACCACAUCAUCUUCAAAUAUCACUUCAAUGUAUGCAUAUGAAUGCAAUGCAUAUGUCCUCUGCCUUCAUACCUCUAAGGGUAUGAAGCCGCAUCGUACCCCUCCUCGGGCAACGUACGAUGCUAAGUUGUACUGGUACGGUCGGACCAUAGGUCACGACAAAACUUCAGAUGCAAAUGAGUCAUGCAAUGUAUAUGGCAUGCUGCAUUUAUCAAUAAAUUUCACUUCCUUUAAAUACAAUACAAACCUCAAAUAAUACUUUAUCUGCCUUCAGAUACAAUGCAAUCCUCAAAUAAUACUUCGUAUGCCUUUAGAUACAAUGCAAACCUCAAAUAAGACUUCAUCUGCCUUCAGGGGUGUGAAUUAAUCUCAUGGGUCAUACUUGAACCAUAAUAAUCAUCAAUAUAUGAUAGAGCAUCAACAUAAUACAAUCAAGUAAAACAUCAUCAUAGAGUUCAAUUAUGAAAGAAUCCAAUAAUUCUGCAUAUUAGAGUGUAGGUGAUAGAAAUAACAGGUCAAAAUGAUAGCAACCACCGCUACAUUCACUUGCCUUCAUCGAAGAAGAAGAAUGUACUAGGCAUGAUCUGGAGUGUAGCCACCUGCUAGCGGGUAUAAAACUUAGUACAAAUAUUUCACAAACAUUUGCCAACAAUCAACAAAACACUCCUACACUUGAAACCAAGACCUAGUGGAAAGACUCCCACCCUGAACCACAUGCUAUACAGCAGCAGCGCUGUUUGUUAAUUUUGUAUCUUUAAAAUUAAAACAUUGGUGAUAUCAAACAAAUACUCUAAGAGUAUCUACACAAAACAAUCUACAACUUCGGUAUUCAAUGGAUAAUUAAAUUCUGCCAUCAAUAUAUUCUAAAACAUCUGACAAGAUAACUGACUGAAUCUGUUUUAGACAGCAGCCUAGUUAACUUCAAAAUUCGAUAUCUCCCAAACUACUGAACCAAAAAUUAUGACAUUCUGCUGGCAGUAAGAACUUUUAUCCCUCUACAAAAGUCUUUACAGUUGGAAGAGCCAAUUUGGCCAUUUACUAGAUGAAACCCACCAGUGAACAGACCCGCUCAUUUUUAUCAGGCAAACAGGAACAGCCACAGUUAAACAAACAUAACUGAAGUUUUAUAAAUCAUAUGAAUACACUCUUUAACAAUCGGGAAAGCUUAUGAAGUUAUCUACAACUUCUUUUACCAACCCACAGUUUAAUUCCGUUGAUAAAAUUGCCUAACUCUUAAGAGAACAGAUUCUGCACAGAAUUAUGAGACUGAAAAACUGCUAUAAUCAAACUGCAAUAACUUUCUGUUCUGAUGUCCGAUUGAGGUGUUCUUCGUGGCCACGGAAAGAUCUACAAAUUAUCUACGACUCAUAUAUAGACUUUUUAUUUUUUUGAGGCCACUAAGAUUACGGAAAACUGACAUGAACAGAAACUGUCGAAUCUGCCAUUCUGCAGAAAUUAAAUUCGAGAUCGAAACCUAACCCCACAUCUAAUCCAACCUCUAAUCCUUCAAUCCACAUGAUCCACAACCUCCAAAAGCAUAUAAUUAUAGGGAGGAACAAGGAUCCUAUCCUUACCUAGGGUUUCCCCAAGAAAAUCUGCAAGAGAUGGGGGUAGAACAUCUCCUUGAUCCUCUCUUCCUCUUCAAUCCAUCUUGCUCCUCCUCUUCUCGAUCCUUGCUGCGUGGGGGGAGAUCUAGAGGGAGGAGGAAGUAGUGGAGGGUGGCUGCAAGGGGAAGGGGGAGGGG
This 3001-nucleotide long non-coding RNA is filed under the name Zea mays. Its description in RNAcentral is "long non-coding RNA (ZMAY_LNC000779)". Lineage: Eukaryota; Viridiplantae; Streptophyta; Magnoliopsida; Poales; Poaceae. The record is from RNAcentral.